UGUCGCUAUAAGUGCAUGAAAAUGAUAGUUAACGGAAGUAAGAUUUGUCGACUCAUGCAAAAAGUGUAAAUGUCCAGUUUCUUCAAUAUUAACACUUAAAUUUGAUUGGAAAGGAAGAAUUGUUAAAUAAAAAUGCUGGAAAUAGAUGAUAUUUUAAUAAAUAAGAAAUUAAUGCAUGGAGUAGAAGCGUAGUGAGGCCAAUACAGCUCUAUAUUGGUAAAGAAGAGUCAUAUGCGUGUAGGAACAUAUAAAAAUCCAUCAACAUUUCAAGGAGAAAUGAUGCAGACCGUGGAGCAACUUUAUUUUCAGUGUACUUUGGGUCACGUGCUUUUUUACAUACUAAUUUUUAUAAAGAAAAAUUAAAAUAACUUUUUUUAUAAAGUUUAAGUAUUGAUAAACAAUGCAUAGAAUGUUUUUAUAUUCAUUUCUAUUGUUAUCCCUUCUAAAAUCAGUUUUUCUUUUCGCGCAUUUUUGGCGCUGCUGGACGUCUGUAACCCCUCAAUUCGCCUUGAAUAUCCUGUAUUGUCCUCCAGUUUUCCAAAAUAAAUCAAAUUUAGCCAAUGAAUAUGGCUGCAAAAUCUUUAUGUAUGUGCUUAUACAUACCCCAUGAUCAAAAAGUACGGGGAAGGUAAUAUUGACUGUUUUCUUCGAUUGCUAAGGCGUAGUGCACCAUUACUACCUUCUAUCGGGCCAGACAGUCAACAAAGACUAUUUUUUAUCCGUUUUAAAGCGUUUGAGAGAUGCUGUACUUCGCAAACGGCCGGAAAUGAGGGCAAACAAUUCUGGGAUUUUGCAUGGUGAUAAAGUGCCAUCGCACCGAGCUCCUGGAUUAUUUGACCAAACACCAAGUAAAUACCUUCGUGCAAGCACUGUGUUCACCUGAUAUGGCCCCGUGGGACUUCUUUUUGUUUCCCUAGUUGAAGUUACCACUUCGUGGUAGGAGAUUUCAGUCGAUAGAGGAGAUCAAAGAGAAUGCGACGAAGGAGCUGAAGGCCAUCUCUUCGUCGGCCUACCAGGGGUGCGUGGAGGGCUGGGUUAAACGUUGGCACUUGUGUGUUGCUUCAGACGGGUCGUAUUUUGUAGGAGAUAAAAUAAAUUUGCCUGAAAUUUAACUCUGUUUUGUUUUAUUUAAACAUUGUAUACAUAUUAUCUUUUUUGUUAAUUUUCAAACGAUCCACUUUAUUAAUCAGCAAUGUUUGCAACAUAUAAAUGUCUUCAUGAUUAUUAGUACUGUUCUACUACUACAUGCAGUUAUGCAACUAAAUACUUUUUUCAUAGUUUAGCUUAGUAAAACGCUGAGUAUGUUUUUAAUACAUAUUAAAAUGUACUUAUACAUAGUUAUUGUACGCUUAACAACACAUUCGAGUGUCCUUUCAUUUUUUUACGUAAAGAAGCUCAAAAAGUAGAAAGUAAAACUUCAGUUGUAGGAAAGGUGGGUAGGGUAUUAGGAGAAUACGUGGUAAGAGAUUUAUGAAUCAAGCGAAAAUUUAAAAAUUAGUGCAAAGAGGAGUGAGGAUAUGGAGGAAAAAAUCAAAGCAAGUUAGUUAAGAAAUAUUAAGGGAUGAAAAAAAAUUGUGGAAUUUGAUAAAUGAAAAAUGAAAUGAAAAAUGUAACCAAUAAUAACCAAAAAAUGUAAUCACCACUGUGAUUUUUCAAAAAAAAUCGAUUUGUUUUUUGCUUUUUCUUAACACGUUCGCGGACGUGAAUGCCACAGCAUUUAAAUUUUAAAGCCAAGUUUUGUUAAUUAAAUUUCAUGUAACUCUAAGUUUUUGUAAUUAAUAUACAUUUCAAAACAAUGACCACUUGAUUCAUUAAGUACUUUCAUAUAACAGUUAAAAUUCGAUGUUCUGACUACUCUUAUAAUAUAUGUACUCGUAUAAUCAGACUUUGGAUAUUACAACUAGUUUCAAAAAUAAUUGUCUGUCUAUUUUUGCAGCUCCCUGAAAUUUUUAGUGUCCGCGAACGUGUUAAAGUAGAUAUAUUCAAAAAUAUGUAACAAAAAUGUUAACUUAAAAUCUCGAAGUUAUACCCAAUACAACAAGUGCAGGUAGUGAGUUACAACGGCCAAUGAAAGCUUUAAACGCGUUUUUCUCAAACCGACUUUACUGAACAGGGUGGCCUCGAUCUCUCGAAGAACCGAUGGUUUUUUUUUUUAAUUUUUGUACAUGUAUUGGCAACAGUCGUACAUAGCCGUUUUUAAUAAUUCCAAAAAUUUAUAUUUUUUCAAGUCUUUUGAAAACAAAAAAAGGGUAGAAGCACAAACUCUUUUUUCAAACCUGCAUCAUUUUCUCAAAAAAAAAAAAAAAAAAUAAUAAUAAUAAAUAAAAAAAACCGCCACGUACGACGAUAGCCAUUGAUUUAUAGAGUAAGAACUCUUUUGGUUUUUUGCUUUCAGAAGUUUUUUCACCGCUGCGUCGUGGCCACCAGGGUGCAUCAGUUUUUUCUGAUGUCAUUGCAUUAAUAUUAAUAACAAUUGUAAUUUCUAUAUUUUUUAAUACAAAUUUGUGUCAGUAUAGUUGAAUAUAUGUUAAAUAAAUUAUAAUUUGUCCGAUCCUCAAAUAAGCAUCUCUAAUUUAA
This is a long non-coding RNA of Anastrepha ludens (Mexican fruit fly), 2577 nucleotides long. RefSeq lists it as uncharacterized. NCBI's taxonomy places the organism in Eukaryota, Metazoa, Arthropoda, Insecta, Diptera, Tephritidae. The record is from RefSeq and is a predicted model, not a curated record. The transcript has 2 exons.